Molecule: transfer RNA, 74 nt
Filed under: Candidatus Dojkabacteria bacterium
Lineage: Bacteria
Description: tRNA-Val
Rfam family: tRNA
About the family: Transfer RNA (tRNA) molecules are approximately 80 nucleotides in length. Their secondary structure includes four short double-helical elements and three loops (D, anti-codon, and T loops).
Source: RNAcentral
GGACCGGUAGCUCAACUGGUUAGAGCACACGGCUUACAUCCGUGAGGUUGGGAGUUCGAGUCUCCCCUGGUCCA